This 254-nucleotide ribosomal RNA is filed under the name uncultured bacterium. RNAcentral describes it as "partial 16S ribosomal RNA". It matches the Rfam family "Bacterial small subunit ribosomal RNA", at positions 524 to 776 of the family's 1533-position model. The record is from RNAcentral.
UACGGGGGGGGCAAGCGUUGUUCGGAAUUACUGGGCGUAAAGGGUUCGUAGGUGGCCAACUAAGUCAUGCGUGAAAUCCCUCAGCUUAACUGGGGAACUGCGUUUGAUACUGGUGUGGCUUGAGUGCAGGAGAGGAACGCGGAAUUCCAGGUGUAGCGGUGAAAUGCGUAGAUAUCUGGAGGAACACCGGUGGCGAAGGCGGCGUUCUGGACUGCAACUGACACUGAGGAACGAAAGCCAGGGGAGCAAACGGG